GACGAAUGCUGGCGGCGUGCUUAACACAUGCAAGUCGAACGGAAAGGCCCUGCUUUUGUGGGGUGCUCGAGUGGCGAACGGGUGAGUAACACGUGAGUAACCUGCCCUUGACUUUGGGAUAACUUCAGGAAACUGGGGCUAUACCGGAUAGGAGCUCCUGCUGCAUGGUGGGGGGUGGAAAGUUUUGGCGGUUGGGGAUGGACUCGCGGCUUAUCAGCUUGUUGGUGGGGUAGUGGCUUACCAAGGCUUUGACGGGUAGCCGGCCUGAGAGGGUGACCGGCCACAUUGGGACUGAGAUACGGCCCAGACUCCUACGGGAGGCAGCAGUGGGGAAUAUUGCACAAUGGGCGGAAGCCUGAUGCAGCAACGCCGCGUGCGGGAUGACGGCCUUCGGGUUGUAAACCGCUUUCGCCUGUGACGAAGCGUGAGUGACGGUAAUGGGUAAAGAAGCACCGGCUAACUACGUG
This 467-nucleotide ribosomal RNA is filed under the name uncultured bacterium. RNAcentral describes it as "partial 16S ribosomal RNA". It matches the Rfam family "Bacterial small subunit ribosomal RNA", at positions 28 to 507 of the family's 1533-position model. The record is from RNAcentral.